Long non-coding RNA from Phascolarctos cinereus (koala), 1267 nucleotides. RefSeq lists it as uncharacterized. The record is from RefSeq and is a predicted model, not a curated record. Lineage: Eukaryota; Metazoa; Chordata; Mammalia; Diprotodontia; Phascolarctidae.
CUCUGUCUCUUAUUUCCUCUGCCUUGAUUUGAGUCUUCAUUUCUCCUUUGCUUCUAUGCCUCCUCUCUCUUUCUCCUUCUAUCUGCCUCUCUCUGUCUCUCCUUGUUUCUGUUUCCCAUGUCAUCCUUGUAGAACUGCUUGAAAAAAGACACAGGGAGCCCGCCUGGACAACAGGCUGAGCUGACACCACCACCAUUCGCUCUACCAGCACAACUCCAAAAUCGCUACAAAUUGCUAUGAGCCCUCAGUGAAUUUCUGUGGCUUCAGUGAAGGGGACAUGAGUCAAUGACAAAUACAGAGGCAGAGAACUGCGUAUUUCCAGUUAGGGACUUUUAGAAUGGAUCUGGGCACGCACAGGAAAUCGGGGAUGCCAGGAGGCAGAAAUGAGGUGGGAGAAAGCUUCAGAAAGCAGAGACAAUCACUGAAAACACCCAGAAUCAAGAUCUAGAGAACUUGUGAGAGGGAAGAACAGCAAAGUGGCCGGUGCAACUGGAUUGCAAAAUAUGUGGAAGUACUUUCAUCAGCUCUCAAAUUCUCCUGGAUAUUGGACCACCUCUAGUGUUUUGUUUUUCCUAGGGCUUUCUUAAUUUGCUUCCAACCUGGCCCCUGCAGUCACAAUCCAGAGGGACAACACUUGGAAAGAAGGGCUCCAUGACCUUCAACACUAUGAACACCAACCUCUAACCAGCUACCACUAAUAGGCCAGUAAUCCGGCCCAGCUUAAAGCAGCAAGAUAAGAUGCCCUGAAGAAGAGAUGAGAUGUGGAAUACAGAAAGGACAAACCAUUACCAUCACCCCCAAAACACCUUACCUCAGACCCUGGUGGCUACAGCUCAGAAUUCUGUGCCCAAAUGCCCAAGGGAUGGCAGUGUCCCUACCCUCAAAACUACUGGUCCUACUUCCAGCCCAUUCUCCAAAGCCAUCAUGCAGGGGAGCAAAACCUUGCACAUAUGUGACCUAGUACUUGUCUCUGCAGAUGCUCCAGCCACACACCCUCACCGUCCACAACUAUCAAAGACCCAGGAAAAAACAAAAUCGCACCACCAAAAACCUUGGCGUUGUCAAAUACUUCAACAUCAGAAAUGACCGUGGUUUUUUAUCAAUGGAAAUGACACUACAGAAGAUAUUGCCAUCAUCCUUGCUGCUACAUCCUAAGGACCACUGGGCUUUUCCAUCUACCCCGAAGCUAAACUCUAUGAGUUAUUUAUUAGAAAGUGAGCUCUUUGAGAGCAGGGACUGUCUUACUUUUCUUCUUGUGUCCCCAUUG